This 70-nucleotide small nucleolar RNA is filed under the name Sinocyclocheilus rhinocerous. Lineage: Eukaryota; Metazoa; Chordata; Actinopteri; Cypriniformes; Cyprinidae. The record is from RNAcentral.
UGAUCGUGAUGAAACUUUAACCAGUUCUGCUACUGACACAACAGUGCUGAAGUCAUACCAUUUCUGAUAA